This 468-nucleotide ribosomal RNA is filed under the name uncultured bacterium. RNAcentral's name for it is "partial 16S ribosomal RNA". It matches the Rfam family "Bacterial small subunit ribosomal RNA", at positions 28 to 507 of the family's 1533-position model. The record is from RNAcentral.
GACGAACGCUGGCGGCGUGCUUAACACAUGCAAGUCGAACGGAAAGGCCCUGCUUUUGUGCGGUGCUCGAGUGGCGAACGGGUGAGUAACACGUGGGUAACCUGCCCUUGACUUUGGGAUAACUUCAGGAAACUGGGGCUAAUACCGGAUAGGAGCUCCUGCUGCAUGGUGGGGGUUGGAAAGUUUCGGCGGUUGGGGAUGGACUCGCGGCUUAUCAGCUUGUUGGUGGGGUAGUGGCUUACCAAGGCUUUGACGGGUAGCCGGCCUGAGAGGGUGACCGGCCACAUUGGGACUGAGAUACGGCCCAGACUCCUACGGGAGGCAGCAGUGGGGAAUAUUGCACAAUGGGCGGAAGCCUGAUGCAGCAACGCCGCGUGCGGGAUGACGGCCUUCGGGUUGUAAACCGCUUUCGCCUGUGACGAAGCGUGAGUGACGGUAAUGGGUGAAGAAGCACCGGCUAACUACGUG